RNAcentral lists this ribosomal RNA (632 nucleotides) under uncultured Actinomycetes bacterium. RNAcentral describes it as "bacterial SSU rRNA". It matches the Rfam family "Bacterial small subunit ribosomal RNA", at positions 60 to 706 of the family's 1533-position model. Lineage: Bacteria; Bacillati; Actinomycetota; Actinomycetes. The record is from RNAcentral.
AGUCGAGCGGAAAGGCCCUUUCGGGGGUACUCGAGCGGCGAACGGGUGAGUAACACGUGAGUAAUCUGCCCUGCGCUCUGGGAUAGCCACCGGAAACGGUGAUUAAUACCGGAUAGGACCACUUCACGCAUGUGAUGGUGGUGGAAAGUUUUUUCGGCGCAGGAUGUGCUCGCGGCCUAUCAGCUUGUUGGUGAGGUAACGGCUCACCAAGGCUUUGACGGGUAACCGGCCUGAGAGGGUGACCGGUCACACUGGGACUGAGACACGGCCCAGACUCCUACGGGAGGCAGCAGUGGGGAAUAUUGGACAAUGGGCGGAAGCCUGAUCCAGCAACGCCGCGUGAGGGAUGACGGCCUUCGGGUUGUAAACCUCUUUCAGUACCGACGAAGCGAAAGUGACGGUAGGUACAGAAGAAGGACCGGCCAACUACGUGCCAGCAGCCGCGGUAAUACGUAGGGUCCGAGCGUUGUCCGGAAUUAUUGGGCGUAAAGGGCUCGUAGGCGGUUUGUCGCGUCGGGAGUGAAAACACCGGGCUUAACUCGGUGCUUGCUUUCGAUACGGGCAGACUAGAGGUAUGCAGGGGAGAAUGGAAUUCCUGGUGUAGCGGUGAAAUGCGCAGAUAUCAGGAGGAA